This 431-nucleotide ribosomal RNA is filed under the name uncultured bacterium. Its description in RNAcentral is "partial 16S ribosomal RNA". It matches the Rfam family "Bacterial small subunit ribosomal RNA", at positions 29 to 507 of the family's 1533-position model. The record is from RNAcentral.
AACGAACGCUGGCGGCAGGCUUAACACAUGCAAGUCGAGCGCCCCGCAAGGGGAGCGGCAGACGGGUGAGUAACGCGUGGGAACGUACCUUUUGGUUCGGAACAACUCCGGGAAACUGGAGCUAAUACCGGAUAAGCCCUAACGGGGAAAGAUUUAUCGCCGAAAGAUCGGCCCGCGUCUGAUUAGCUAGUUGGUGAGGUAACGGCUCACCAAGGCGACGAUCAGUAGCUGGUCUGAGAGGAUGAUCAGCCACACUGGGACUGAGACACGGCCCAGACUCCUACGGGAGGAAGCAGUGGGGAAUAUUGGACAAUGGGCGCAAGCAUGAUCCAGCCAUGCCGCGUGAGUGAUGAAGGCAUUAGGGUUGUAAAGCUCUUUUGUCCGGGAAGAUAAUGACUGUACCGGAAGAAUAAGCCCCGGCUAACUUCGUG